AUUGAACGCUGGCGGAAUGCUUUACACAUGCAAGUCGAGCGGCAGCACGGGGGCAACCCUGGUGGCGAGCGGCGAACGGGUGAGUAAUACAUCGGAACAUGCCCAGUCGUGGGGGAUAACACUUCGAAAGAAGUGCUAAUACCGCAUACGUCCUGAGGGGGAAAGCGGGGGAUCGCAAGACCUCGCGCGAUUGGAGUGGCCGAUGUCAGAUUAGCUAGUUGGUGGGGUAAAGGCCUACCGAGGCAACGAUCUGUAGCUGGUCUGAGAGGAUGAUCAGCCACACUGGGACUGAGACACGGCCCAGACUCCUACGGGAGGCAGCAGUGGGGAAUUUUGGACAAUGGGGGCAACCCUGAUCCAGCCAUUCCGCGUGAGCGAAGAAGGCCUUCGGGUUGUAAAGCUCUUUCGGCAGGAACGAAACGGUGAGCUCUAACAUAGCUUGCUAAUGACGGUACCUGAAGAAGAAGCACCGGCUAACUACGUG
RNAcentral lists this ribosomal RNA (484 nucleotides) under uncultured bacterium. RNAcentral describes it as "partial 16S ribosomal RNA". It matches the Rfam family "Bacterial small subunit ribosomal RNA", at positions 30 to 507 of the family's 1533-position model. The record is from RNAcentral.